Molecule: long non-coding RNA, 323 nt
Filed under: Panax ginseng (ginseng)
Lineage: Eukaryota; Viridiplantae; Streptophyta; Magnoliopsida; Apiales; Araliaceae
Description: long non-coding RNA (PGIN_LNC008690)
Source: RNAcentral
AAAAAGGGAAUCCUCGCAAAUAUUGUGAUUACCAUCAAGCUUCGGGUCAUGAAACGAAUGAUUGUGCCAGUUUAAAAGACUUCAUUGAGAGAAAGGUACAAGGUGGGGCUUUAGUUCAGUAUGUGGCUGCCAGAACUAAUCAACAGCAGGACCGAGGACCUGUCCCGGCAGCUCAACCAGUUCAGCAAGCAUUGCCAGCUCCGGGACAGCCUGCGAGGCAUGUGAUAGAUGUCAUCACCGGGGGUACUUCUGGCAAGCUCAUUGGAAAAAAGCGCCGAAGCUAUUUGGUUUCGGUCAUGUCGGUGGCGGGUACCUUCCCGAAG